GGAGGCGUGCCCGAGCAGGGACUACACUGAUGAAGUAGACACGGAGACAAUAUUCUCCCGCCCCCA
Molecule: transfer RNA, 66 nt
Filed under: Elaphe quatuorlineata (Four-lined ratsnake)
Lineage: Eukaryota; Metazoa; Chordata; Lepidosauria; Squamata; Colubridae
Description: tRNA-Ile
Source: RNAcentral